UACAAUAGGUAAGCUAUUAAGAGCGAAUGGUGGAUGCCUAGGCUGUAAGAGGCGAUGAAGGACGUACUAGACUGCGAUAAGUUGCGGGAGCUGUCAAGAAGCUUUGAUCCGCAAAUCCGAAUGGGGCAACCCAACUGACAGGAAUGUCAGUUACCCUGCGGGGAGCGAACCUGGUGAAGUGAAACAUCUCAGUAGCCAGAGGAAGAGAAAUCAAAUAGAGAUUCCGAUAGUAGCGGCGAGCGAACUUGGAAGAGGGCAAACCAGAUGCUUGCAUCUGGGGUUGUAGGACUGCGUUUAGAAUGAUGAUAGGUAGUAGAGUAACCUGGAAAGGUUAACCAUAGCGGGUGAUAGUCCCAUAUACGAAAUCUAGAUUCAUCUUAGCAGUAUCCUGAGUAGGGCGGAACACGUGGUAUUCUGUCUGAAGCCGGGAGGACCACCUCCCAACCCUAAAUACUACUUACAGACCGAUAGUGAACCAGUACCGUGAGGGAAAGGUGAAAAGAACCCCAGUGAGGGGAGUGAAAUAGAACCUGAAACCAUUUGCUUACAAUCAUUCAGAGCCCUAUGAUUUAUCAGGGUGAUGGACUGCCUUUUGCAUAAUGAGCCUGCGAGUUGUGGUAUCUGGCGAGGUUAAGAAAACUCGGAGCCGUAGCGAAAGCGAGUCUUAAUAGGGCGAAUUAGUCAGAUGCUGCAGACCCGAAGCGAAGUGAUCUAUCCAUGAGCAGGUUGAAGCUGGUGUAAGAGCUAGUGGAGGACCGAACUCAUUGACGUUGAAAAGUCUCGGGAUGACUUGUGGAUAGGGGUGAAAGGCCAAUCAAACUUCGUGAUAGCUGGUUCUCUCCGAAAUAUAUUUAGGUAUAGCGUCAUGUUGUAGUAUACGGGGGUAGAGCACUGAUUGGGCUAGGGCCUAUACCAAGGUACCAAACCCUGUCAAACUCCGAAUACCGUAUAUGUAAUCAUGGCAGUCAGGCGGCGGGUGAUAAAAUGCGUCGUCAAGAGGGGAACAACCCAGACUACCAGCUAAGGUCCCAAAGUGAUAACUCAGUGGAAAACGAUGUGGAGUUGCUCAAACAACCAGGAGGUUGGCUUAGAAGCAGCCAUCCUUUAAAGAAAGCGUAACAGCUCACUGGUCUAGCGAUUCUGCGCGGAAAAUAUAACGGGGCUAAAGUUAUCCACCGAAGCUGUAGAUUCUAUUUUUAAUAGAGUGGUAGGAGAGCGUUCUAGUCAGCAUUGAAGGUGUACCGGUAAGGAGCGCUGGAGCGGCUAGAAGUGAGUAUGCAGGCAUGAGUAGCGAUAAAACGGGUGAGAAUCCCGUUCGCCGAAAACCCAAGGUUUCCUACGCGAUGUUCGUCAUCGUAGGGUUAGUCGGGACCUAAGUCGAGUCCGAAAGGGGUAGACGAUGGAAAGUUGGUUAAUAUUCCAACACCAAUUAUAGAGCGCGAUGGAAGGACGCUUAGGGCUAAACGAGGCAACUGAUGGAAUAGUUGUUCGAAGGGUGUAGAUUAGAUUACAGGCAAAUCCGUAAUCUUUUAUUCGAGACCUGACAGGCACUUGAUGCUCUUCGGAGUGGAUGGUGAAUCGUUGAUGCCGUCGAGCCAAGAAAAGUUUCUAAGUAUAUCUGUAAUUGCUCGUACCGUAAACCGACACAGGUGGGUGAGAUGAGUAUUCUAAGGCGCGUGGAAGAAACCUGGUUAAGGAACUCUGCAAAAUAGCACCGUAUCUUCGGUAUAAGGUGUGCCUCCUUCUGUAUAUGGACUUGCUCCAAAAGGCGGAAAAGGUUGCAACAAAGAGUCCCUCCCGACUGUUUACCAAAAACACAGCACUCUGCUAACUCGUAAGAGGAUGUAUAGGUGUGACGCCUGCCCGGUGCUGGAAGGUUAAUUGAUGUGGUUAGCGCAAGCGAAGCCAUUGAUCGAAGCCCCAGUAAACGGCGGCCGUAACUAUAACGGUCCUAAGGUAGCGAAAUUCCUUGUCGAUUAAAUAUCGACCUGCAUGAAUGGCGUAACGAGAUGGGAGCUGUCUCGACCAGGAAUCCAGUGAAAUUGUAGUGGAGGUGAAAAUUCCUCCUACCCGCGGCAAGACGGAAAGACCCCGUGGACCUUUACUAUAGCUUGACACUGCUGUUGGGAUAAAGAUGUGCAGGAUAGGUGGGAGGCUUUGAGAGUAUGACGCCAGUUGUACUUGAGCCAUUGUUGAGAUACCACUCUUCUUUAUUCUGAUAGCUAACUGGGACAUAUUAUCUAUGUUCAGGACAAUGUCUGGUGGGGUAGUUUGACUGGGGCGGUCGCCUCCUAAAAAGUAACGGAGGCUUACAAAGGUUGGCUCAGAACGGUUGGAAAUCGUUCGCAGAGUAUAAUGGUACAAGCCAGCUUGACUGUGAGACAUACACGUCGAGCAGAGACGAAAGUCGGUCAUAGUGAUCCGGUGGUUCUGUGUGGAAGGGCCAUCGCUCAAAAGGAUAAAAGGUACCCCGGGGAUAACAGGCUGAUCUCCCCCAAGAGCUCACAUCGACGGGGAGGUUUGGCACCUCGAUGUCGGCUCAUCGCAUCCUGGGGCUGGAGCAGGUCCCAAGGGUAUGGCUGUUCGCCAUUUAAAGCGGUACGCGAGCUGGGUUCAGAACGUCGUGAGACAGUUCGGUCCCUAUCUGCCGUGGGCGUAGGAAAGUUGAGGAGAGUUAACCCUAGUACGAGAGGACCGGUUGAACGAACCACUGGUGUACGGGUUGUUCUGCCAAGAGCAUCGCCCGGUAGCUAUGUUCGGAUGUGAUACCGCUGAAAGCAUCUAAGCGGGAAGCCACUCCAAGAUUAACUUUCCCUGAAGACCUCAUGAAGACUACAUGUUUUGAUAGGCUGGGUGUGUAAUGGGUGAGAGCCCUUUAGCUGACCAGUACUAAUAGGUCGUUUGGCUUACAUAU
RNAcentral lists this ribosomal RNA (2914 nucleotides) under Sulfurospirillum diekertiae. RNAcentral describes it as "Sulfurospirillum sp. ACSDCE 23S ribosomal RNA". It matches the Rfam family "Bacterial large subunit ribosomal RNA". Lineage: Bacteria; Pseudomonadati; Campylobacterota; Epsilonproteobacteria; Campylobacterales; Sulfurospirillaceae. The record is from RNAcentral.